UGCCCCCUGCUCUUUGUUUACAGGGAG
RNAcentral lists this non-coding RNA (27 nucleotides) under Rattus norvegicus (Norway rat). Lineage: Eukaryota; Metazoa; Chordata; Mammalia; Rodentia; Muridae. The record is from RNAcentral.